UGGUCAUGUUACUAAUGGCGUGCCAUGGUGAAUGAAGUGUAACGCAGGAAUAGCAAAGAAGUCUCACCGCGGGUCGUAUGAUCAGAUGGAAAGCCGGAAUGUAGUACGAGAUACGAAGGAUCUUCAAGGGAUAGAGAUCAAGGACCGAGUCACAAGACAGAUUGUACGGGAACGUUGGUGUUGAAAUUUAGAAAACCCAUGUCAUGUAUUUAAUUGUAAAUGAGUCGGUUGAUGACUUCAUGUGAAAAAGUUGUGUUAAAAUGAAAUUUUAAAUAA
Molecule: long non-coding RNA, 276 nt
Organism: Helianthus annuus (common sunflower)
Lineage: Eukaryota; Viridiplantae; Streptophyta; Magnoliopsida; Asterales; Asteraceae
Exons: 2
Source: RefSeq, a predicted model, not a curated record